GUGGAAGAGGCAGGAGUGAUCGAAUUUUAAGUGUCGCGCCGUGAUGUGUGUUUAAAGUUGAGUCAGCUAAGGAAAAGUGCCAAGUUCCGUAUAGCUACUAGUUUCGUGCGUGUGUUUUAGUAUUGUGCAGGUUUGUGGCAUACUGCGAAACCCCACACAUCGCACCCCAAAGCCAACGAUCGCUUCUGACCCCACCGUCAGCUACGAGGGUUUCCCGGAAGUACGUCGACCGGAAGAGGGCUUGCGUACGUUUCAUCGCGCCCUAGGCAGAGGUUGCAGUCAUCCGCGUUCAUCAUUGAAUUGCGCCAACCACAUACAGUUCAUCACCGCGACGACCGUACCCGUUCAUCGCCGCUGCGUGAAGCCCACAGACCGGAGGGAAUAUCAUCUGCGUCAACGUCAGCGACGCGAGCUUCGAUCAACGGUGCUCAUCGAAUGAACGACUGUUUGAUUUUCGAAUUCCCUCCACCAAA
This is a long non-coding RNA of Armigeres subalbatus, 473 nucleotides long. RefSeq lists it as uncharacterized. The transcript has 3 exons. NCBI's taxonomy places the organism in Eukaryota, Metazoa, Arthropoda, Insecta, Diptera, Culicidae. The record is from RefSeq and is a predicted model, not a curated record.